Molecule: ribosomal RNA, 459 nt
Filed under: uncultured bacterium
Lineage: Bacteria
Description: partial 16S ribosomal RNA
Rfam family: Bacterial small subunit ribosomal RNA
Source: RNAcentral
CCUACGGUAGGCAGCAGUGAGGAAUAUUGGUCAAUGGACGCAAGUCUGAACCAGCCAUGCCGCGUGCAGGAUGACGGCUCUAUGAGUUGUAAACUGCUUUUGUACGAGGGUAAACCCCGAUACGUGUAUCGGGUUGAAAGUAUCGUACGAAUAAGGCUCGGCUAACUCCGUGCCAGCAGCCGCGGUAAUACGGAGGAUCCGAGCGUUAUCCGGAUUUAUUGGGUUUAAAGGGUGCGUAGGCGGUUUGAUACAUUGGUGGUUAACUUUCGGGGCUAAACCCCAAAUCUGCGUUUAAUACUGUUGGAUUAGAGAAUAGUGGCGGUAGGCGGAAUGUAUGGUGUAGCGGGGAAAUGCUUAGAGACCAUACAGAACACCGAUUGCGAAGGAAGAUUACCAAACUAUAUCUGACGUUGAGGCACGAAAGCGUGGGUAGCAAACAGGAUUAGAUACCCUUGUAGU